UUGACUUGUCCAGCUGAUAUAUGUAGUCAACGAGUGGAGAGGUGUCAUCAGUCUGCAACUGUUCUGUGGAGCUGUUCACAGUACCGUGACAGCUGAUGGUGUCUCCCAAAGUCUCCAUGUGUUCUUUCAUCAGUGGAAACAGCUCUUUGCAGACGUUUACCGACUCUUAUUCUAUCUUACACCCAAAAAAAAAAAAUUUCUUUAUCUUUGCAGACACCAAAAUGAUCCAUCAAAGAAAAAAAAAAAGCUAGAAAAAGACAUCAGAGAGGCAAAAGAAGCAUUCUACCUUGACUACCUAAACUAACAAGCAAAUGAGCAUCUCAGCAGUUC
RNAcentral lists this long non-coding RNA (330 nucleotides) under Musa acuminata (dwarf banana). RNAcentral describes it as "long non-coding RNA (MACU_LNC005736)". The record is from RNAcentral. Lineage: Eukaryota; Viridiplantae; Streptophyta; Magnoliopsida; Zingiberales; Musaceae.